Molecule: ribosomal RNA, 480 nt
Filed under: uncultured bacterium
Lineage: Bacteria
Description: bacterial SSU rRNA
Rfam family: Bacterial small subunit ribosomal RNA
Source: RNAcentral
UAACACAUGCAAGUCGAGCGGCAGCGGGAAAGUAGCUUGCUACUUUUGCCGGCGAGCGGCGGACGGGUGAGUAAUGCCUGGGAAAUUGCCCACUCGAGGGGGAUAACAGUUGGAAACGACUGCUAAUACCGCAUACGCCCUACGGGGGAAAGCAGGGGACCUUCGGGCCUUGCGCGAUUGGAUAUGCCCAGGUGGGAUUAGCUAGUUGGUGAGGUAAUGGCUCACCAAGGCGACGAUCCCUAUCUGGUCUGAGAGGAUGAUCAGCCACACUGGAACUGACACACGGCCCACACUCCUACGGGAGGCAGCAGUGGGGAAUAUUGCACAAUGGGGGAAACCCUGAUGCACCCAUGCCGCGUGUGUGAAAAAGGCCUUCGGGUUGUAAAGCACUUUCUGUGAGGAGGAAAGGGAGAGUCNUAAUACCUCUCAUCUGUGACGUUACUCACAGAAAAAAGACCGGCUAACUCCGUGCCAGCAGCC